AGUGGCGAACGGGUGAGUAAUGCGUGAGCAACCUGCCUUUCAGAGGGGGACAACAGCUGGAAACGGCUGCUAAUACCGCAUAACACAUUCAGGUGGCAUCACUUGGAUGUCAAAGGAGUGAUCCGCUGAGAGAUGGGCUCACGUCUGAUUAGCUAGUUGGUGAGGUAACGGCUCACCAAGGCGACGAUCAGUAGCCGGUCUGAGAGGAUGAACGGCCACAUUGGGACUGAGAUACGGCCCAGACUCC
RNAcentral lists this ribosomal RNA (247 nucleotides) under uncultured Eubacteriales bacterium. RNAcentral's name for it is "uncultured Clostridiales bacterium partial 16S ribosomal RNA". It matches the Rfam family "Bacterial small subunit ribosomal RNA", at positions 94 to 339 of the family's 1533-position model. Lineage: Bacteria; Bacillati; Bacillota; Clostridia; Eubacteriales. The record is from RNAcentral.